ACGGAGGGUGCAAGCGUUACUCGGAAUUACUGGGCGUAAAGGGAGCGCAGGCGGUCUAUUAAGUCAGGUGUGAAAGCCCGGGGCUCAACCCCGGAAAUGCACCUGAAACUGGUAGACUUGAGGAUGAGAGAGGAAAGUAGAAUUUCUGGUGUAGAGGUGAAAUUCGUUGAUAUCAGAAGGAAUACCCGUGGCGAAGGCGGCUUUCUGGCUCAUUUCUGACGCUGAGGCUCGAAAGUGUGGGUAGCAAACAGG
RNAcentral lists this ribosomal RNA (252 nucleotides) under uncultured bacterium. RNAcentral describes it as "partial 16S ribosomal RNA". It matches the Rfam family "Bacterial small subunit ribosomal RNA", at positions 525 to 776 of the family's 1533-position model. The record is from RNAcentral.